This 77-nucleotide transfer RNA is filed under the name Latescibacteria bacterium DG_63. RNAcentral's name for it is "tRNA-Ile". It matches the Rfam family "tRNA". From Rfam's summary of the family: Transfer RNA (tRNA) molecules are approximately 80 nucleotides in length. Their secondary structure includes four short double-helical elements and three loops (D, anti-codon, and T loops). RNAcentral also lists the same sequence under 1 other name. Lineage: Bacteria; Pseudomonadati; Candidatus Latescibacterota. The record is from RNAcentral.
GGGCCUAUAGCUCAGACGGUUAGAGCGCACGCCUGAUAAGCGUGAGGUCAGUGGUUCAACUCCACUUAGGCCCACCA